GGCUCGGUAGCUUAGUUGGUAAAGCGUUCGUCUAGGAUACAAGAGUACUGGGCUCAAAUCCCAGCCGAGCAC
Non-coding RNA from Aedes aegypti (yellow fever mosquito), 72 nucleotides. The record is from Rfam. NCBI's taxonomy places the organism in Eukaryota, Metazoa, Arthropoda, Insecta, Diptera, Culicidae.